Nicotiana tabacum (common tobacco) is the source of this 793-nucleotide non-coding RNA. The record is from RefSeq and is a predicted model, not a curated record. NCBI's taxonomy places the organism in Eukaryota, Viridiplantae, Streptophyta, Magnoliopsida, Solanales, Solanaceae.
CUGUAGCUGCAGCAGUUGGAAGAGCACACUUUCCUAUCAUGGUAAUAUGAAGUGAUUUUGAGUUUCACACAUAGACACACGCACACACACAUAGACACACACAUGUACACAAACAUGGGUGGAGCCAGGGUUGCAAGGGGUAUCUAAACCCCAUUUGCAGAAAGAUUACAUUGUAUAUACAAGAGUGGACAAGUUCUAAGGAAGGCGGUAUCAGAUGUAUCACUUGAAAUAGGCAAAAUUGAAAAAGAUUUGGAGAGCAUUUGCAUUACAAUUGAUGAAGUUAUGCAGGCAGAAUGUGAAUGCUGUGGUCUUCGAGAGGAAUGCACUCAAGAUUACAUAGAAAGAAUUAAGGAUUCUUAUUCAGGAAAAUGGGUAUGUGGCCUUUGUUCUGAGGCUGUAAAGGAAGGACAACGAAGGGGACCAGUAGACAUUGACGAAGCUGUGAGUUCGCAUAGAAACUUCUGCCAAGAAUUCAAUAGUUCAACUAGACUCAACCCAAAGCUCUCUUUGACAAUGGCCAUGAAAAACAUUGCAAAAAGAAGCCAUGAAAAUAGGGAGAAGACGCAAUAUCCUACAUCAAAGAUUUCAAGAAGUUCUAGUUGUGCUCCGAGAAUUGAAUUUGACACUACAAUGAAACAAUAGAGGAUUGCAAAGUUUAUGCCUUAAUUAGAUAUCCUACAUCAAGUACUCAUUAUAUGUAGUACUUGUUAAUUAGAAUAUACUACUACUUGUUAAGAUAUGGAGUACUAAAUUAAAGAUGAAUGGUUUUAUUGGUGUUCGCUUGCAAGAACCC